UGGGGAAUAUUGCACAAUGGAGGGAACUCUGAUGCAGCGACGCCGCGUGAACGAAGAAGGCUUUCGAGUCGUAAAGUUCUUUUAUAUGGGAAGAUAAUGACGGUAUCAUAAGAAAAAGCCCCGGCUAACUACGUGCCAGCAGCCGCGGUAAUACGUAGGGGGCUAGCGUUGUCCGGAAUCACUGGGCGUAAAGGGUUCGCAGGCGGAAAUGCAAGUCAGGUGUAAAAGGCAGUAGCUUAACUACUGUAAGCAUUUGAAACUGCAUAUCUUGAGAAGAGUAGAGGUAAGUGGAAUUUUUAGUGUAGCGGUGAAAUGCGUAGAUAUUAAAAAGAAUACCGGUGGCGAAGGCGACUUACUGGGCUCAUUCUGACGCUGAGGAACAAAAGCGUGGGUAGCACAAAGG
Molecule: ribosomal RNA, 403 nt
Filed under: bacterium
Lineage: Bacteria
Description: partial 16S ribosomal RNA
Rfam family: Bacterial small subunit ribosomal RNA
Source: RNAcentral